This 465-nucleotide ribosomal RNA is filed under the name uncultured bacterium. RNAcentral's name for it is "partial 16S ribosomal RNA". It matches the Rfam family "Bacterial small subunit ribosomal RNA", at positions 28 to 507 of the family's 1533-position model. The record is from RNAcentral.
GAUGAACGCUGGCGGCGUGCUUAACACAUGCAAGUCGAACGGAAAGGCCCAAGCUUGCUUGGGUACUCGAGUGGCGAACGGGUGAGUAACACGUGGGUGAUCUGCCCUGCACUUCGUGAUAAGCCUGGGAAACUGGGUCUAAUACCGGAUAGGACCACAUUUUGGAUGGUGUGGUGGAAAGUUUUUCGGUGUGGGAUGAGCUCGCGGCCUAUCAGCUUGUUGGUGGGGUAAUGGCCUACCAAGGCGUCGACGGGUAGCCGGCCUGAGAGGGUGUACGGCCACAUUGGGACUGAGAUACGGCCCAGACUCCUACGGGAGGCAGCAGUGGGGAAUAUUGCACAAUGGGCGCAAGCCUGAUGCAGCGACGCCGCGUGGGGGAUGACGGCCUUCGGGUUGUAAACUCCUUUCGCUAGGGACGAAGCGCAAGUGACGGUACCUGGAGAAGAAGCACCGGCUAACUACGUG